GGUUAAGUGAAUAAGGGCGCACGGUGGAUGCCUUGGCACUAGGAGCCGAUGAAGGACGGGACUAACACCGAUAUGCUUUGGGGAGCUGUAAGUAAGCUAUGAUCCAGAGAUUUCCGAAUGGGGGAACCCAAUAUCUUUUAUAGGAUAUUACUUUUCAGUGAAUACAUAGCUGAUUAGAGGUAGACGCAGAGAACUGAAACAUCUUAGUACCUGCAGGAAGAGAAAGAAAAUUCGAUUCCCUGAGUAGCGGCGAGCGAAACGGGAAGAGCCCAAACCAACAAGCUUGCUUGUUGGGGUUGUAGGACUCCAAUAUGGUAGUCUGUUAGUAUAGUUGAAGGAUUUGGAAAAUUCCGCUAAAGAGGGUGAAAGCCCCGUAGACGAAAUGCUGACAACACCUAGGAGGAUCCUGAGUACGGCGGAACACGAGAAAUUCCGUCGGAAUCCGCGGGGACCAUCCCGCAAGGCUAAAUACUCCCUAGUGACCGAUAGUGAACCAGUACCGUGAGGGAAAGGUGAAAAGCACCCCGGAAGGGGAGUGAAAUAGAUCCUGAAACCGUGUGCCUACAACAAGUCAAAGCUCGUUAAUGAGUGAUGGCGUGCCUUUUGUAGAAUGAACCGGCGAGUUACGAUUGCAUGCGAGGUUAAGUCGAAGAGACGGAGCCGCAGCGAAAGCGAGUCUGAAUAGGGCGAAU
This 692-nucleotide ribosomal RNA is filed under the name Enterococcus faecalis. RNAcentral describes it as "partial 23S ribosomal RNA". It matches the Rfam family "Bacterial large subunit ribosomal RNA", at positions 1 to 697 of the family's 2925-position model. Lineage: Bacteria; Bacillati; Bacillota; Bacilli; Lactobacillales; Enterococcaceae. The record is from RNAcentral.